AGUGGUCCUGAUCAAAGUGAGAACAGACAGCAGGGAACAUCACCCUCUUCAGAUUGGAGUCAGUGGGAACAAACCCAAGAUGUUGGGGAGGAACACUUGGAAGACCUCAGCUUUCUCCUUGGUUGAGCAGAUGUGGGUCCCUCUCUGGAGUCGUUCGAUGAGGCCAGGGCGAUGGUGUUCUCAGCAUUCCUGUGCACGGCGAACCAGCAAUAACACUUUGCACCCACUCUGGACGGGCCCGGUCUCCGUGCCAGGGGGCACCCGGCAGUCUCCUAUCAACAUCCAGUGGAGAGACAGCGUCUACGACCCCCGGCUGAAGCCACUCAGGGUCUCCUAUGACGCGGCAUCCUGCCUGUACGUCUGGAACACUGGCUACCUCUUCCAGGUGGAAUUCGACGAUGCCACCGAGGUAUCAGGACUGGCUGCCAGGUCCUACCUGGUGUUUUCCCAGCACCACCUGGUGUCACUGUAAGCCGCCUUCAUGAGGAAUGCCUGCUCUCCCU
RNAcentral lists this small RNA (503 nucleotides) under Pongo abelii (Sumatran orangutan). RNAcentral describes it as "processed transcript". The record is from RNAcentral. Lineage: Eukaryota; Metazoa; Chordata; Mammalia; Primates; Hominidae.